RNAcentral lists this ribosomal RNA (253 nucleotides) under uncultured bacterium. RNAcentral's name for it is "partial 16S ribosomal RNA". It matches the Rfam family "Bacterial small subunit ribosomal RNA", at positions 524 to 776 of the family's 1533-position model. The record is from RNAcentral.
UACGUAGGGUGCGAGCGUUAAUCGGAAUUACUGGGCGUAAAGCGCGCGCAGGCGGCGGUGUUGGCCCGGCGUGAAAGCCCCCGGCUCAACCGGGGAGAGUCGUCGGGGACCGCACCGCUUGAGGGCGGUAGGGGCUGGUGGAAUGCCUGGUGUAGUGGUGAAAUGCGUAGAGAUCAGGCAGAACACCUGGGGCGAAGGCGGCCAGCUGGGCCGUCCCUGACGCUGAGGCGCGAAGGCGUGGGGAGCGAACGGG